This 5650-nucleotide long non-coding RNA is filed under the name Homo sapiens (human). RNAcentral describes it as "HSALNT0282109". The record is from RNAcentral. Lineage: Eukaryota; Metazoa; Chordata; Mammalia; Primates; Hominidae.
AAUAAUUUUAAUUUCAAAUGAUAGACAAAGAUCACUUUACCAUAUGUGAAAAAAUAUCGAAAUGUGUUUAUUACACAUUAUCAGGAGCAAUAAAAUAAAUAUACCAAAAGGUCACUCUGGAAAAUGAUUUUGUGAAUAAAAUAACAUGGCAGGCUUCCCCUGAGAGAUAUAAAGCAUGAAACCACCAUGAAAAGAUUUAUCUCUCAGUUGAUUUUCUUCUCUGUAUCACUAAAAUACCAAACUCAGCUACUUACAUAAUAAUCAGUGUAACAGUCAUUUUUAAAUGUUUGAAUUAUCCUCUACUUCCCUUAAGAAAUAUAAUUUAAUAGGCAAUUCAGUGAAAAUAUACUAUUGAAAUGUUUGGACUAAAAUCAGCCAUGAGCUAAAGUCUGUUUUAUACUGUUCAGAUUUUUUGGGGGGAGGGGGUGGGGUCUUUGUUUUUCAUCAGUGAAUGCAAAUGAAACAUUUAGGAGACAGAGGUCAAACGGAAUGUCAAUGUGAAAUAUGAAUAAGACCAAUUUAUUCUGACUAGUAAGCUUUUGAACUUUACUAAAACAGUUUCGUGAUAGUAAAGGAUUUGAAUAUUUCACAUUUUUUAUUGCUAGUUUGAGAAAAAUUAUUAAAAUAUAAUUCCUUUCCAUCAAAAUGUUACACUGAAAAGGCUUAUUCUGAAACAAACAAAAAAUGAGAUUUACAAUCUCCAAUAGACAGCGAGGGAGGUAAAAGAAAAAAAAAAAGCAAGAAGAAUUUAAAAUAAAGAUACAGUUUGUAUUAGUUUUGUAUUGUUGUGGAACAAAUUGCCACAAAUUUAGCAGCUUAAAACAAUACUUAUUUAUUAUAUUACAGCUUCCAUAAGUCAGGAUUCCAGUCACAGCUUAGCUGGAUCCUCUCAGAAGGCUACGAUCAAGGUGUCAGCCAGACUGAGUUCUCAUCAGAGGCUCGACUAGGAGAGGAUCUGCUUCCAAGUUCCCUCAGGUUGUUGGAAGGAUUCAUUUUCUUGUGGCUAAGCUCACAGGAGCUUUCUUCUUCAAGGGCAUCAGGAGAGUGGAGAGCGAGUCUACUCAAAGACUUCUAUACAAAUCAUAAGACAUCAAGUACUCUUCAACUGCCUAUUGGGAGACAAUUUCCACAGCUCUCUCAUGUUUCUGCACAACUUGUAAGCAAGACAAGACUCUCUUAUCUUCUGGACUCUAUUUUCAAGAAUACUCAUAUAGUGAACAGUGUCUUCUUCCUGAGCGAAGGGCAUAAAUGCUACUUUCCAUUUUAAAAGAUUCAAGUUCCCUAAGCUCGGAAUUCUUCUGUAAUGCAACCCAUUGUGUGUGCAGGUAUCACCUGGCAUUCUUCCCAUUACCCUGUGGGAAUUGGAGCUCAGGGAACCUUCAUAGAAAUUCUGAUAGUCUAGCUACUGCUAUUUCUAUGAGUAAUAAAUUGUUUCUGACCUAGAAGUCUUGUGUCUUCUGCUGGCACCCAUGAAAUUAUGAGGCUAAAUUGUUAGAUUACAAGUGAGGUAAAAUCUUGGACGCUUCCCAGUUCUUGACACUGACUAAAAUACAUGCAUAUUCGUUUUAUCAAGUCAGUUUGAAAAAAAAUCUAUGAAUUAAAAUAAUUACAAAAUUCUAAGGACUGAAUUUGUAAUAUAUUGGAUGAACAAAACCCUCUACCUUGGUUCUGAAAUUCUUGAUAGUUGAGAUAUGUGUAACAUUUGUAAUUUGAAAUACACAAGUAAUUCUCUAUUUAAAAGGUCAUAUAUCCAAAGUAUUGAAAAAUCUAGAAUACAUUAAACUUUAGCUAUCCAUGGUGAAAGGCAGUGGCAAAACAGCUGCAGAAAAGCUGAAACUAGAUUCAAUUAAAUCUUUGUGCCAAAACCAAGUGCACAAAAAUCUCCCAAAGCUGUUAAAACUAUACAGCUUAUUUGCUAUAAAUUUUAUAAAUGGUUAAAUAAAACAAGUUUUGAAGUAAUUUGGUAAAUUGACAAAUUUUUCACUCAUUGAUUUGUUGUAGCUAAUGAGGGAUGGUGGGGAGUGGAGAAGGGUUCAGAGAACUUGGGAAGGAUAUAAAAAUGGAGGUAUGUGGGGCAAAUGCCCCCAACUACAUGUUUUAAUCAAGAACACCAGCCUAUGAUCAAGGGAAUUUUCAUAUACAGAUGAGAGCUAGUCUCACUUGAUCUUUCUGCAUUAAAACUGUUACAAAGCAACUUCUUUAUCAAAUGAAUACAAUCACAUUUAGUAGAGGCUCUAGUUAAGACCUGAGGCUAUACUGACCUGGGUUAGAGACCUGGCUUUUACAUUUUUACCUAAUCUCUCUAAGCCUUAAUUUCUCAGUUUUAAAAGUGCAGGUAAUCAUAGCAUGUGUUUCCCAAGGAUGUUGUAAAGAUUAGUGUCAGGAUGGCUGAGUGGUGUAAGGCACCAGACCCAAGGAUGUUGUAAGGAUUAAUUGAAAUAUCCACUUGAAUUGCUUAGCAUGAUACCUGCUAUGUAGAAAGUGCUUGAUAGCCUUAACAAUAUAUAUCAUUAAGAAAUUUCCUUGGAAUGGGAAUUUCAAACCACUUUAUCAAAUAUACUUACUUCCUCACUUACUUUUGUGGUUUGGUAGCUUUUUCUUUACACAUUUAGGAGGUGGGGAAGCACAGAGAUAUAGCACUUUCUUUUUUUUUUCUUUGAGACAGAGUCUCGCCCUGUCACCCAGGCUGGAGUGCAGUGGCGCCAUCUUGGCUCACUGCAACCUCCGCCUCCCAGGUUCAAGCUAUUCUCCUGCUUCAGCUUCCUGAGUAGCUGGGACUACAGGUGCACGCCACCAAGCCCGGCUAAUUUUUGUAUUUUUAGUAGAGAAGGGGUUUCACCAUGUUGGCCAGGAUGGUCUCGAUCUCCUGACCUCGUGAUCCACCCGCCUUGGCCUCCCAAAGUGCUAGGAUAACCGGUGUAAGCCACCGCACCUGGCCAGAUAUAGCACUUUCUAAAAGGUCUAUAAAUCUUUCUAAAGAUUAAUAUUGAGUGGGAUCAAUGUGUUUUAGGGAAUCCAGAUACUGCACACCACUUUGCAAAUGUUUAGAUUUUAGCAGAACAACAAAUGGACUUUGCAAAGACUGUCUUUUAAUUAUUAAACCUCUAUUUAUUAAAAAGAAAUUAGGCCAGGCACAGUGGCUCACGCCUGUAAUCCCAGAACUUUGGGAGGCCGAGGUGGGUGGAUCACCUGAGGUCAGGAGUUCAAGACCAGCCUGGCCAACAUGGUGAGACCACAUCUCUACUACAAAUACAAAAAUUAGUCGGGCAUGGUGGCAGGCACCUGCAAUCUCAGCUACUUGGGAGGCUGAAUGAAUUUACAGGUAGGAAGGCACACAUUAUAUAAGUUAAAAUUCAGUUCAACUAUGAGUGACAGAAAACCCUAAUGAGUGGUAGCUUAAACAUACAAUGUUUACUCCCUCAAACAAAAUGUCUGCCUGAUAUGUAGCUGAUGUGAGGCUCCAUGGUGUCAGGGUCCCAGGUUUCUUUUAUCUAUGGCUUUGCCAUCUUUAUCACAUGAACCAUAAUGACUGCUUGAGUUUCUUAUGGUCUAAAAUGGUUUCUUGAGUUUCCUAUCCCCAUCCAGUCAGGAAGAAAAAAAAAAAAAAAAAAAAGGAAUGACUGAUGAAGCGCUUGCUUUUAUUUUAAGAACACUUCCUGCAAGUUGCACAUACCAAUUCUGUUUGCAUUCUUUUGGCCACAACUUACCUACUUGGCCAUGCCUAGCUUCAAGAGAAGAGAAAUGUAGUCAUUAUUUUGAGUAGUUAUAUGUCCAGAUGGAAAUCAGGGGAGCUAUCACACACACACACACACACACACACACACACACACACACACACACACACACAAAGCACAAAACAGAUACUGGGGACAACUCAUCUUCUUUGCCUCAUACACUGAAAUUAAGCCAGAUUGGUCUUGUUUUUGAAAGAAAGUAACACUGUUAGUAAGAGAGACUUUGGUAUUGUCUAAUCAAACUUCUCUCUUUUUGUGGAUGAGACUCAUGUUGUCUGAGUUCAAGUUCAGAUAUCAUCCAUUCCUUGAGCUUGUAUGUGUGAUACUACACACUACAACCUAGCACAGAGAGGAUGAGAAGACAAGAAAUGAGAACUUAGGUGUUACUUAGUAUUUAUUUAUAAUAGUAGUUUUAAAAAUGCUGUCUUGACACAGUUUUGAGGCCCUGGAAAUAACAUUUUAAAGUAAAAACGUUAAAGUUUAAAGAAGAGCUUUGCCACUUAAACGGGGGAGUUUGUCUGGAAAAUAUAUUGAGUUGAAACACUUCAUCCUUGGAAGGAUUAUAUACGAUGAACAAUUGCAUAUAAAUGUGUGUUUUAGAGAGAUGUGAACGGGCAGUUAGUCCAGUGCCCUCAUUUAAGAGGCCAAAAUCCUGACUCAGAGGAGGUGUCCUUUGCCCAGAGCUUCUUAGCUAAUCUGACCAAAUGUUGGGAAAUAUAUCUUACCUAACCUACUAUUCCUUAAUUAUGGAUUUUGUGGAAAACAAUAAAACAUGUUAAUGAGUAAUUUAUAUUAGUUCAAUUUAUUACAAUUUUUUAGCUUUAAAUUACAGUUUUCUUAUAAUGAUGAAAUGUUUUAGAAUCCUUUGAAUCUAAGUAUUUACUUAUUUCCUAAAUAAAACAUUAGUACAACAUUUGAUGUUUUACUUAUGAAAUAUCCUCCUCUCCCAAGAUAAUUAAAACUUUUUCUUUCUAUUUAAAAGCUAAGAAAUGAUGUUUUAAAGGAAAAAUGAAAUUAUUUUCUUUUAGCUUCUUUUAAGGUAAAACAGCUUUUUUACUCUGUUAUUGUGGUAAUGGACAGAAAAUUGCAUACCAAAAUAUUCUGGGAGAGCAUUCUCCUAGUUGGUUUUAAAUCAUUGUGCUACCUGAAAGGUUUUUUGAUUUUGUAGGAGCUAUUUUGUCCACCAGCAUUAAUGUGACACUAGUUAUGAAAAUAUAUUGAAGGACAAGAAGUGGACACAAAGUGAUUUUUGUAACCUGGGCAGUUAAUGAAUGUGCCAACGUUUUCGAGGAAGGGACAGCAAGAAUAUUCUGCCCUGUAGUUAAAAUACUGGCUGGCUUUUAAUGUCUUCAUGCUUAAUCGUGAUCACUUUCUUGCACUGUGAUGUUUUUACGUGAACAUGUUAAAAUGGAAGUCUACCAUAUUACUUUAUAAAAUGUUUUCUGUAUGCCAGUAAACUGAAAAUAUGGAUCAACAACAACAACAAAAUGCGUCUUGACACAGUUUUGAGGCCCUAUGUAGGGGUUAGUCAAUUUUCACUGAGCAAUCGGUUAAGCCCAUAUCCCCAACCACCUCCCUUAUGAGACUCUCACCCUCCUGGCCACCAUACACUUUUCCUAAUUACUCUAAGGGCAGGUAUCAGAUAACCAGAGGCAGCUCCUAUACCCUGGAGCCCACUGAAAGUGCUCAAAUUAGUCAAUCCUAAGCCUGCGUAUCCUGCCUCAUCCAUUCCUUCCUGCAGAAACCACAAUAAAGACACUUGUCUUCCCUCUUCCUUUGCCUCACGACCAACCUUGGUGCUUCCCCUGAGUGGCCCUGUGUGGCAUAUUGUGUUCUUCCCAGAGAACUGUCAGUAUAAGAAACUGUAAAACUCUUUCUGGUUUCUGUCUGUUGAUCUGCAUCUGGCCUCACCAGGU